Molecule: long non-coding RNA, 4759 nt
Filed under: Sus scrofa (pig)
Lineage: Eukaryota; Metazoa; Chordata; Mammalia; Artiodactyla; Suidae
Description: lncRNA (ENSSSCG00055028131.1)
Source: RNAcentral
GGCUAGGGGUCGAAUCGGAGCUGUAGCCGCUGGCCUAUGCCAGAGCCACAGCAACACGGGAUCUGAGCCGCGUCUGCGACCCACACCACAGCUAUGGCAACACCAGAUCCUCAACCCAUUUAGCAAGGCCAGGGAUCGAAUCCUCAACCUCAUGGUUCCUAGGCAAUCACUGUGCUGCGACGGGAACUCCUCCUGGAUAUCUUUUAUUAUAUUGCUCUUUUUAAUAGAGUAUGAUAGUUAUUGUAGAAUUUCUUCUUUUUUUUUUUAGAUCUAGUCUCCUUUUAUACCAGUAUCAUUUCUAGAUUUCUGUCUUCAGGCUCACUAAUUCUCUCUUCCAUAUUGUCUGCAUUGUUUCCGAUGUUUUUAGUGUGUUCUUCAUCUCAUUUAUUGAGUUCUUUAGUUAUAGAAUUUGGUUCUUUUUUAUAGUUUCAGUCUGUUUGAUAAAGUAGUCUUUCUGUUCAUUGGUUUUAUUCCUAAGCUCUUUGAAAUAACUUUUUCCUGAAUUUUUCGUGGCUCAUUGUGUUUCUUUAUGGCAACUAUUUUGAAUUCUGUAUUAAUUAGAUUGUAAUAUUCUCUGACUUUAAGUUUAAUAUUUAGAGAAUUGUCAUUUUCUUUUUGUGAUAUCUGUUACCAUGGUAUUUCCUGGUGCUUGAUGAAUUUUUCCUCUUCCAGUGCAUUUGAAGUAAUAAUUCAGGUAAAGUUUUUUUUCACUUGAUUCUAACAAUUGAACAGGUUAGUAGUUAGAGGCCUUUCUUCUGUUUUCCAAUAGGUGGUGCUAUAGCACAAAUUUUUGGUUUCCUGAACCUGAGCUGCCUCUGGUUAUAUUUGAGAAUCAACACUUUCACCCUCCACUGCCUCUGCUAGAGUUGUCACCUGGACCCCUCAUUGUUGCUGCUUGUGCUAUCAGAUCACUGGUGCCUUGCUGCUCUCACUUAUCACUGCUGUUGCUGGUGUUGUUGCCUGGGGCACCAGGAUGGCAGGUACCUCUGCCAUGUCCAGGGUUACCUGGCUCUGCCACCACAGGAAGGGUGUGGGGGGAAGCCAGGGUCAUGGGUGCCUCUGUUGCAUCUGGGGUUGUUAGGUGACACUGCUGUAGGUGAUGGGGGACCAGGGUCACAGGUGUCUCCAUAGCUGGAGUUUGGGGUCUAGGCCCUCCUGCUACUGCUGCCAGGCUCACUGUAGCCAUAGGUAUUGCUAUAUAGGUGGGAUGCUGGGGUUGUGUGCACUGCCUCCCCUGCUGCUACUGUAUUCUCCUGAGGUCAGAGGCUGCAGCCUGGCUUGUUGAGAUCACAGGCACCACCUCUCCUGUUUCCCUAGUUCUCCUUCCUCUUUGUGUUGUCAUCCAUCGGCAUUUGGAUGUACAGAUUAAUAGAAUGCUCCAGUGUCUUGGUGUAAUAAGCAGGGGAACCUCCAUUGUUAUGGCUGUUUUGCUGGUUGUAGAUUGAAAGGGGGUGUCUCGUGCCACUGGGAUGUUGACAUCACUCCCAGCGUAUGUCUUGAAUUUCAUAAAUUAAGAAAGCUUAAUUGGUUAUCUUCUUAAUACUUGUGUAUCUUCAUUGUCUUAUUUAUUUAUUUAUUUAGAUCGUAACCACAGCUUGCAGAAGUUCCUGGGCCAAGGAUUGAACACGAGCCACAGCAGUGACAAUGCUGAGUCCUUAUCUGAUAGGCCCCUGGGGAAUUCCCCUUGUGUCUUUAAUUGCAGUGUCAUAAAUAUCAUUCUUUGUAGAAAUGAAGAGCGCUUAUUUUUCUUUGUAGCUCUUCUUCUCUAUGUUUUCCCCUAAAUCACCCAAAAUACUCAAUUUCCUUUUUAAAUGUAAUUCACAAUAAUCAAUAGUUCAUUCACAAUAUGUCUUAAGGAGUUCCUGCCAUGGCACAGUGGGUUAAGAACCUGACUGCAGCAGCUCAAAUUGCUGCAGAGGCUCGAGUUUGUUCCCUGGCCUAGUGCAGUGGGUUAAAGGGUCCAGCAUUGCCGCAGUUGUGGUUUGGAUUCAACCCCUAGCCUGGGAACUUCCACAUUGUGCUACUGCAGCCAUAAAAUUUAGAAAAAAAAAAAAUUGUCUUGAACAUCAGUAGUAGUAUUUAAAAAAUAUUUUAGUUUUUGUGUUAUUAAAAUUGAGAAAAGAAGUUAAUAGUACAGAACAUAGGGUAAUAGGAUUACUUUCAACUGACCACACUUUCCUAGUCUCCAGAUUGAUAUUUUGUUGAAUUCUUUAAAAGAUUUUCUUUUGUGCUAUAUAAAUUAUUAUAUGCCUAAUUUUAGGGUUUGGCUUCUCGAGACAUCCAUUAUAGAUCUUUCUUUUUUCAUGGUCAGGUGUGAUGUAUCACAAAUCAUUUAACCAUCGCUAUUUGUUGACACUGAAAUUGCUUACAGAUGUUUUGUCAGAUAAUGACUACAGUAGCAAAUAUACUUGGAGAGAUAUUUCUAUACUGUAGUUUCCUGUAAGGGACUACUGUGUGACUUAGUUUAUGAGUUGUACCUAUUACAAGUUUUGGUAUUGCUAAAUUAAGAAUGUAGUGUCAGCAUAAAUUCCCAUCAACUUGAUGUGAAUGCUUUUCUCCCUGCACUGCACCAAUACUUAAAUACUACUAAUCUUUAAAUUUUAGUCAAUUUAUAUAUUUAUUUUUCUGGUCUUUUUGCCUUUUCUAGGGCCCCUCCUGUGGCAUGUGGAAGUUCCCAGGCUAGGGGUCCAAUCAGAGCUGUAGCUCCCGGCCUACGCCAGAGCCACAGCAACUCGGAAUCCGAGCUUCGUCUGCAACCUACACCACAGCUCACAGCAAAAGCCAGAUCCUUAACCCACUGAGCAAGGCCAGGGAUGGAAUCUGCAACCUCAUGGUUCCUAGUUGAAUUUGUUAACCGCUGAGCCACGAUGGGAACUCCAAAUUUUAGUCAAUUUAAAGUGGAAAAAUAGGGUAAGAGUAUGGAUUGCCUGGAUUUAAUUCUUGGUUAAUUGAAAACUGACUUUGGUUUGGUUUGGGGGAAGUUAUACCUAAACUCUCUGUAAAAUAGCAUAUUAUUAUUUUUUUCAUUUGUAAAAUUGCAUAUUAUUAUCACUUACCUGAUAGGAUUUGAGGUUAAAAUGAUUGUUGUGAGGUUAAAAUGAGGCGACAUGUAGUCAUUGUUUUCAAUGUGCAUGGUUUGAAGAGUAUAAUCUUAAUUUUUUUUCUUUUUAUUAUUUUUUUUAAGGGCCGCACCGAUGGCCUAUGGAGGUUCCCAGGCUAGGGGUUGAAUUGGAGCUACAGUUGCCUGUCUAUGCCUACGCCACAGCAACGCGGGAUCCCAGCCGUGUUUGUGACCUACACCACGGCUCAUGGCAACACUGAAUCUUAACCCACUGAGUGAGGCCAGGGAUUGAGCCUGGAACCUCAAGGUUCCUAGUCAGAUUCGUUUCUGCUGAGCCGCUACGGGAACACUCACAGCAUACGGAAGUUCCUAGGCGAGGGAUCGAAUCCAAGCCCCAUCUGCAGCCUCUGCCAGAGCUGUGGCAGUGCUGGAUCCUUAACCCACUGCUCUGGGCCAGGAAUCAAACUGGCAAUGCCAUAGGGACAAACCUGAUCAUUAACCCACUGCACCACAGAGGGAACUCCUAGAUGAGUUUUGACAAGUGCUCAUAACCAUGAAAUCACCAACCCAAUCAAGAUACAGAUCAUUUCCAUCACCACCCAUAAUUUCCAGGCUAGGGGUUGAAUUGGAGCUGCAGCUGCCAGCCUACGCCACAGCCACAGCAACUCCAGAUCUGAGCCACGUCUGCAACCUACACCACAACUCAUGGCAAUGCCCUAUCCUUAACCCAUUGAGUGAGGCCAGGGAUCAAACCCACAUCCUCAUGGUUACCCGUCUGGUUUGUUACCGCUGAGCCACAAUGGGAACUCCUAUAUAUUCUUUCUUAAUGUAGAUUGAUUAAGCAUUUUCUAAAAUUUUAUAUAAAUGGGAUCUACACAUACUCUUGUGUCUGGUUUCAUCUUUUUUUUUUUUUUUUUUUUUUUUUUUCCCUUUUCUAGGGCUGCUUCCCAUGGCAUGUGUAGGUUCCCAGGCUAGGAGUCGAAUCAGAGCUGCAGCCACUGGCCUACGCCAGAGCCACAGCAACGCAGGAUCUGAGCUGCGUCUGUGACCUACAGCACAGCUCACGGCAACGCUGGAUCCUUAACCCACUGAGCAAGGCCACGGAUUGAACCCGCAACCUCAUGGUUCCUGGUCGGAUUCAUUAACCACUGCGCCACAACAGGAACUCUGUGUCUGGUUUCUUUCAUCAUAAUAAUUUUGAAUGGAUCAAUAAGUACCGUAAAUGAAUAUUUACUUUUCUUAUCUAGUAAGAUUAAACCUUUCUUCCUAUAUUUUUGUCUGUGUGUAUAUUAAGUAGGCAUUGAGGACACUAAAAAUUAUAUAAAUUCUUCUGAAUUCAGGUGAUUAUUUAAGAUUUACUAAAUACUAUGCAAACUAUUACUUUUUUAAGUGGAUAAGCAAUGAGAUCCUGCUGUAUAGCACAGGGAACUAUAUCCAUUCACUUGUGAUGGAACAUGAUGGAGGAUAAUGAGAAAAAUAAUGUAUGUAUAUAUGUAUGACUGGGUCACUCUGCUGUACAGUAGAAAUUGACAGAACACUGUAAAUCAACUAAUGGAAAAAUAAAAAUCAUAAAAUUAAAAAAAGAUUUACUAAAUACUAAAUAAAUACAAUAGAUCUCUGGUUCUGGGAUGUAAUUAGGCAGCAUUAAAGACAUUUAAGGCAGUUGGUUUUCUUUUUUUUUUUUUUUUUUUGGCUUUU